UGUAGAGAGAGCACAAAGCAGCGUUCAGCGGGCUGCUGGCUUCCUCGUGAUUUCUUGUGUUCAACUCAUGUCUAUGUUAUCGUUGAGUUUAAUCGGCAAGAUAUACUGCAUCUCGUGCGUGACGUUUGUUGUUGUGUUCGCUAUUCGUCUGACGUUGCAAAAGCUGUUGUGCCAGUGCCGUGACCACAUGCCGUAGAACUUGCCGGACCAGCUUGGACCUUGCCGGAAACAGCGAGCCGUUCUGCCUCUGAUUACAGCCCCGCCGCCGUGGUUUCUUUGCGGCUGUUCAAGGGGAGAACAAGCGACAGUUGGAUUACUCGAAGUUUGCCAAACGGACUUGGGUUUCCCCCUCAGCUCGCGUAAUCGGCACCGAAGUCUAGCCUCUUUGUAGUGGAUUUGCGCCAACUUCCGUGUGCGUGACGCCGAGAGGAGUCUGUCGUUCAUUGGGUGCCCGGACCAGAAGUUCUGUUCUGGACCAGAAGUGAUUUAGUGAGAGCGGCAUCCGGAAAGCGGCCAUCAAAAUGCACGUCGGAGCGAGCAAUGCGGAGACUUCGAGCAAGGAACUUUUCUCUGACCUUCGUAAAGGAAAUUCUGCGUGCUGAACAGUUCGAGAGCCUUGCCUCUUAAACAUCGCCGAUGCCGCGAACGGAAAGCGAAGUCAAAGCUCCACGAAGAUCGGACACAGAUCAAACAAAACAAACACAAUCAGUCGCCUGUCUUCGACUGACUGGUCCCGCUGCGGCCCGUAUGUCAUAAUACGCAAGGAGAUCGAAUGCUUGCCCUGCAAGGAGCUCGAAAGCAUCCCCGAAGACCUACAGCACGAGUGCGUUACAACCCUCGAAGAUUUCCAACUUCGAUGCCUCAAUACGGCUGUCCUCACAUUUUGAACUCCGUGGGCAGCGCGAACCUAUGAGCGCCCAUAUUCACAAACAACACAGGUGCACUGCACAUCGCCAGUUUGCAAGGUGACCUUGGCACUAGCUUGGGAAAAACAAGAGGACAGUCAUCUGAGCUUGUGCAGUGAACAGGAUCUUGGAAGCCUAUCCCCCAGAAACUGCCAAAGGCUUGAAGUACCCAAGAUACUAAAUGGAGGUACAUCUUCGCACUGCUUCUCCAUCACAUUCAAAAUAUCAAAUUCAGCAUCAGUGUUUUAGCAUGAUUCAUAGCCAUGCAGAAUGAUGCAUGGCUAGGAGCUCAAUAUGCUGUAUUGAAAUACAACACUAAAGACAUUUUUUAUUAGUCUUGCGGGGCGACAGACGAUCUCUCCUUUCAUGGCAUUGUGUACCGUUGCUAAAAUGGAGCUGUUUUGUAGUAAGGCUGAUGAACAAACGAAAAUAGUCUGCCUUCCAAAUAUAUAUGUUCCUUGUAACUUCUGUUUUUUUAAGUAAGCCAUGUUGAUGUCCCCCCUCAUGUAAUGCGCAAAAGGCCUUUGAUGUAUAUUCAUAAAUAAAUAAAUAUCAAAAC
Ornithodoros turicata is the source of this 1464-nucleotide long non-coding RNA. RefSeq lists it as uncharacterized. NCBI's taxonomy places the organism in Eukaryota, Metazoa, Arthropoda, Arachnida, Ixodida, Argasidae. The transcript is spliced from 5 exons. The record is from RefSeq and is a predicted model, not a curated record.